This 506-nucleotide ribosomal RNA is filed under the name uncultured bacterium. RNAcentral's name for it is "partial 16S ribosomal RNA". It matches the Rfam family "Bacterial small subunit ribosomal RNA", at positions 28 to 523 of the family's 1533-position model. The record is from RNAcentral.
GAUGAACGCUAGCUACAGGCUUAACACAUGCAAGUCGAGGGGUAACGAGAGGAAAGCUUGCUUUCCUUGUCGACGACCGGCGCACGGGUGAGUAACGCGUAUCCAACCUGCCCCCAACUAGGGAAUAACCUUGCGAAAGUAAGACUAAUACCCUAUAAUUUCCUCAGAUGUCAUCUGACGAGGAAUAAAGAUUUAUCGGUUGUGGAUGGGGAUGCGUCUGAUUAGCUUGUUGGCGGGGUAACGGCCCACCAAGGCAACGAUCAGUAGGGGUUCUGAGAGGAAGGUCCCCCACAUUGGAACUGAGACACGGUCCAGACCCCUACGGGAGGCAGCAGUGAGGAAUAUUGGUCAAUGGGCGGAAGCCUGAACCAGCCAAGUAGCGUGCAGGAUGACGGCCCUAUGGGUUGUAAACUGCUUUUAUACAGGAAUAAAGUUAGCCACGUGUGGUUAUUUGUAGGUACUGUAUGAAUAAGGACCGGCUAAUUCCGUGCCAGCAGCCGCCGUAA